Molecule: long non-coding RNA, 2141 nt
Organism: Neopelma chrysocephalum (saffron-crested tyrant-manakin)
Lineage: Eukaryota; Metazoa; Chordata; Aves; Passeriformes; Pipridae
Exons: 2
Source: RefSeq, a predicted model, not a curated record
CCCCUAAUAUCUUGUAGUCAGUUGAAAAUGCAAUCCUUAAAGGACUGGAUGAAUCACAUAUGUUGGCAAAGGUUGCUCACUCUGCACAUGCCAUGUGAGGGUGUGGACUAUGCAGUUUUCCAUGGAAAUCACGCAGGUGGAAAAAGUAAUUAAUUUCCUACUUUUAUAUUUGUUAGUAUGAGAGCUGUCAAAAUAGAUCUGUAGAUAAAUCACUUCUUGUAGGUAUUUUAUUUUAUAGUAGUAUUAUUAUAUAGUAGGUUUGUCCUAUCAAGAUAAGCCUCCCCUCCCAGAUAACCAGGUGUGUCAGAUUGCUUGCUGAAACUCUAGCUGGUCACAGAUCAAUUGGGUUUAGGUCAACUCCAUCUGUGUUGUCUGUCUCCCCAUGGGAUGUGUUGCCAGGUGGUGCAGGAGCACUCUGUAAUACAACCUGUCACUUUCGUUUUAGAAAGACGGUGACAAGAAACUGAACUUCCCUCUCUGUCCCUCUCUUUUUCUAAGUCCAGGCUCUCUCACCACGACCAGUUCAGUUUCCCUCCCACAGCUCAGCCCGGCGGUGCUCAGCCGGCCGGGAAAGCCUACCCUCUGCUGCCGGCGCUCCCGAAAGGCACCAGCCAGGGAAUUAAUAGCUCAGCGAAGUGCCAGGAUUGCUGGGGCUGCAGGACAGAGCGGGCGUGUUGACCCCGCACUUCACACUUCAUUCCUGUGUGCCUGUGAGAUAAAACUGGGGACACCCCACACUCUUUAAGGGUGGGUGAUGGCUGGUCCUCAGCUCGCUCAGGGCUCACUGGCAUUGCACCCUGCGGCCAAAAGGGGCACCCAGAACCAGACAAGAUGCCACAGCAUGUGUGGGACACACUGACCAGCUCAGCCUCGUCCUGCCGCUCAGCACCACCAUCCUUCCCCCAGCACAUCGGCUCCUAGAAAUCUGCUGCUUUCCCCUUGUUUAAAGACCCGUGUUCCACAGCGCGGGCCUACCCCAAGUCAGCCUACCUUAUCCACCCAGAGGGGACAGUGGCAUUGGGCCUUCAGGAGCCAAGACAAGCUCCUGGGUCAGAGGUCAGCCAGCCUGGCCCCGGCUGAAGCUUCCUCAAAGUCUGAGCCAUUCAGGACAGGAGCUCAGGUUACAGCUGCCUGAAACCCCUCCAGCUUGGCCAUUGCAAAUGGCCCGCCAUCACUUGCUACGUUUGCAAAGCCUGCUACACCUAGAAAGAGAGGUGACCUUAAGGACUUACUUUCUGGGAGUAAUUGAAGUGCAGACCUCUUGUAAGAUUUUUCUCCACUGAAUCUUCAAGAUCUGCAUCUGGAGGAGAGAGCAGACACUGACUUCAGGCUCAUGUUAGAAGUGAAGAUAACUUAUCAAAACUGUUUGAUGGACACUGAUAUAUACUGUAGCCACUUGCUCUCUUUUUGUUGGCCACAUACAUUAUUUCAGUAAUGUAUAAGCAGCGUUUGUGUUCAAAUGGCAGUAAACUUUUGUAGUGAUCCUUUUUUUUUUCAGGUGGAACCAGUAAAACAUUUGACUCUGAUGUCAGUUAUGUAAACACAUGGCUGUAUUCAUACCAAGUGGUAAUUGUUUGACUGAAACUGGCACAAAAACCAGAGCUGCUUAGGUCCAAAGGAAAAUCAACCCCUUCAGAGUGAGUGCACCUGCACAGGAGGUGUGUGCACUGAAUGCUAUGAGGAGAGCACUAAGAGGAAGGGGCAGAAUAAUUUAGAUGUCUUGCUAUUGGAGGCCUGAAGAUGUGCCUUUUUGGUGCUCUGAGCUUUAGCAGGCAUGCUGAGAGAAAUAAGGCAUAGUUGUACGAGUGAGGGGUGGGGUGAGAGUGAAAAACACUGGCAGACAGAGGCUGUUGCUACGGAAGCCUGGAACAGUAAUGCAGAGGAGUUUAUGUGGUGUUAUUUGUCACAGAUUAUGUCUCUGUGUUGUCUCAUAAAGCAAGUGAUUCACUGCCUUUUUUUUGCUCAGGGUGGGGCAGUAAUUCCUUUCCUGAAUUGCUAAAAAUAAAGCCAAACAAUGACUACAAUAUUAAUCUUUAAAGGAAAAAAGAGGCAGAAAACUGAUACCUCCUGUAAGUAACUGAACCUUUAUUCAGAGUGGAUUUAUACUAUUAGUAUGAAUAAUAAAUGAAUGUCUUUAAAUA